CGCGUAGGCGGUUGUUUAAGUCAGAUGUGAAAGCCCUCGGCUUAACCGAGGAAGUGCAUUUGAUACUAGACGACUUGAGUAUGGGAGAGGGAAGCGGAAUUCCUGGUGUAGCGGUGAAAUGCGUAGAUAUCAGGAGGAACACCGGUGGCGAAGGCGGCUUCCUGGACCAAUACUGACGCUGAGGCGCGAAGGCGUGGGGAGCAAACAG
RNAcentral lists this ribosomal RNA (208 nucleotides) under uncultured delta proteobacterium. RNAcentral's name for it is "partial 16S ribosomal RNA". It matches the Rfam family "Bacterial small subunit ribosomal RNA", at positions 568 to 775 of the family's 1533-position model. Lineage: Bacteria; Deltaproteobacteria. The record is from RNAcentral.